This 566-nucleotide long non-coding RNA is filed under the name Ananas comosus (pineapple). Its description in RNAcentral is "long non-coding RNA (ACOM_LNC043548)". The record is from RNAcentral. Lineage: Eukaryota; Viridiplantae; Streptophyta; Magnoliopsida; Poales; Bromeliaceae.
UCGGUGCGGAUUUUCAAAAACCCGAACCCGAACCUGAACCCGACUCCAAACUCGAGACCCGAACCCGAAUCCGAACCCGACGGAUUUUAAAAAUCCAUAUCCAAAUCCGACAAAAAAUCCGAAACCCGAACCCAAACCCGAACCCGGAAAUUUGAAUCCGAAAGAAUUAUUUCUUUUUUCAAUAUUUCAAAAUAUAUUACAUUAAAUCUAAAUUUCUAAAAUACAAAUUUAAAUAUAACAUCAAAUUUAUUUAUAUAUAUAUAUAGAGUCCGGCUACUAUACUCUUAUGAGUAUAGAGCCUCUUAUACUCAUAAGUUUUUGGCCAUUAGAUCUACCCUUUAAUCAUUUUCACCCGUUAAAUUAUACUAUUCAACUAACCACCCACUCAACUCUAGGGGUCCCACUAUCAACCUAACCGUAACCACUCUCAUCCUAACUGCACAUUUUUUCAUCUGAACGGUCGAAAACUUAUGAGUACAAAGGGCUCUAUACUCAUAUGAGUAUAGUAGCCCCAGCCUAUAUAUAUAUAUAUAUAUAUAUAUACCAGCACGGAGGCCUCCGAAAUA